AGCGAACGCUGGCGGCAGGCUUAACACAUGCAAGUCGAGCGGGCGUAGCAAUACGUCAGCGGCAGACGGGUGAGUAACGCGUGGGAACAUACCUUUUGGUUCAGAACAACACAGGGAAACUUGUGCUAAUACCGGAUAAGCCCUUACGGGGAAAGGAUUUAUCGCCGAAAGAUUGGCCCGCGUCUGAUUAGCUAGUUGGUGAGGUAACGGCUCACCAAGGCGACGAUCAGUAGCGGUCUGAGAGGAUGAUCAGCCACAUUGGGACUGAGACACGGCCCAAACUCCUACGGGAGGCAGCAGUGGGGAAUAUUGGACAAUGGGCGCAAGCCUGAUCCAGCCAUGCCGCGUGAGUGAUGAAGGCCCUAGGGUUGU
This 372-nucleotide ribosomal RNA is filed under the name uncultured bacterium. Its description in RNAcentral is "bacterial SSU rRNA". It matches the Rfam family "Bacterial small subunit ribosomal RNA", at positions 29 to 426 of the family's 1533-position model. The record is from RNAcentral.